Molecule: ribosomal RNA, 483 nt
Filed under: uncultured bacterium
Lineage: Bacteria
Description: partial 16S ribosomal RNA
Rfam family: Bacterial small subunit ribosomal RNA
Source: RNAcentral
GACGAACGCUGGCGGCGUGCUUAACACAUGCAAGUCGAACGAUGAAGCCGGAGCUUGCUCUGGUGAAUUAGUGGCGAACGGGUGAGUAACACGUGAGUAACCUGCCCUUGACUCUGGAUAACUGCGGGAAACUGUAGCUAAUACCGGAUACGACCCUCGGAGGCAUCUCCUGGGGGUGGAAAGAAUUUCGGUCAAGGAUGGACUCGCGGCCUAUCAGCUAGUUGGUGAGGUAAAGGCUCACCAAGGCGACGACGGGUAGCCGGCGUGAGAGGGGGACCGGGCACACUGGGACUGAGACACGGCCCAGACUCCUACGGGAGGCAGCAGUGGGGAAUAUUGCACAAUGGGCGCAAGCCUGAUGCAGCAACGCCGCGUGAGGGAUGACGGCCGUCGGGUUGUAAACCUCUUUUAGCAGGGAAGAAGCGAAAGUGACGGUACCUGCAGAAAAAGCACCGGCUAACUACGUGCCAGCAGCCGCAGUAA